This 331-nucleotide ribosomal RNA is filed under the name uncultured Flavobacterium sp. RNAcentral describes it as "bacterial SSU rRNA". It matches the Rfam family "Bacterial small subunit ribosomal RNA", at positions 9 to 346 of the family's 1533-position model. The record is from RNAcentral. Lineage: Bacteria; Pseudomonadati; Bacteroidota; Flavobacteriia; Flavobacteriales; Flavobacteriaceae.
GAGUUUGAUCCUGGCUCAGGAUGAACGCUAGCGGCAGGCUUAACACAUGCAAGUCGAGGGGUAGAGUUAGCUUGCUAACUUGAGACCGGCGCACGGGUGCGUAACGCGUAUGCAAUCUACCUUGUACAGGGGGAUAGCCCAGAGAAAUUUGGAUUAAUACCCCAUAGUGUAACGGAAGCAUCUUUUGUACUAAGUUCCAACGGUACAGAUGAGCAUGCGUCCCAUUAGCUAGUUGGUGUGGUAACGGCAUACCAAGGCAACGAUGGGUAGGGGUCCUGAGAGGGAGAUCCCCCACACUGGUACUGAGACACGGGACCAGACUCCUACGGGA